This 468-nucleotide ribosomal RNA is filed under the name uncultured bacterium. RNAcentral's name for it is "partial 16S ribosomal RNA". It matches the Rfam family "Bacterial small subunit ribosomal RNA", at positions 28 to 507 of the family's 1533-position model. The record is from RNAcentral.
GACGAACGCUGGCGGCGUGCUUAACACAUGCAAGUCGAACGGUGAUGCUCCAGCUUGCUGGAGUGGAUCAGUGGCGAACGGGGGAGUAACACGUGAGCAACCUGCCCCAGACUCUGGAAUAAGCGCUGGAAACGGCGUCUAAUACUGGAUACGAAACUGGCCCGCAUGGGCAUGGUUGGGAAAGUUUUUCGGUUUGGGAUGGGCUCGCGGCCUAUCAGCUUGUUGGUGAGGUAAUGGCUCACCAAGGCGACGACAGGUAGCCGGCCUGAGAGGGCGACCGGCCACACUGGGACUGCGACACGGCCCAGACUCCUACGGGAGGCAGCAGUGGGGAAUAUUGCACAAUGGGCGAAAGCCUGAUGCAGCGACGCCGCGUGAGGGAUGACGGCCUUCGGGUUGUAAACCUCUUUCAGCAGGGAAGAAGCGAAAGUGACGGUACCUGCAGAAGAAGCACCGGCUAACUACGUG